AUUGAACGCUGGCGGCAGGCCUAACACAUGCAAGUCGGACGGUAGCACAGAGAGCUUGCUCUCGGGUGACGAGUGGCGGACGGGUGAGUAAUGUCUGGGGAUCUGCCCGAUAGAGGGGGAUAACCACUGGAAACGGUGGCUAAUACCGCAUACCGUCGCAAGACCAAAGAGGGGGACCUACGGGCCUCUCACUAUCGGAUGAACCCAGAUGGUAUUAGCUAGUAGGCGGGGUAAUGGCCCACCUAGGCGACGAUCCCUAGCUGGUCUGAGGGGAUGACCAGCCACACUGGAACGGAGACACGGUCCAGACUCCUACGGGAGGCAGCAGUGGGGAAUAUUGCACAAUGGGCGCAAGCCUGAUGCAGCCAUGCCGCGUGUAUGAAGAAGGUCUUCGGGUUGUAAAGUACUUUCAGCGGGGAGGAAGGCGGUGCGGUUAAUAACCGCGCCGAUUGACGUUACCCGCAGAAGAAGCACCGGCUAACUCCGUGCCAGCCGCCGCAGUAA
This 504-nucleotide ribosomal RNA is filed under the name uncultured bacterium. RNAcentral describes it as "partial 16S ribosomal RNA". It matches the Rfam family "Bacterial small subunit ribosomal RNA", at positions 29 to 523 of the family's 1533-position model. The record is from RNAcentral.